Molecule: long non-coding RNA, 2505 nt
Organism: Myotis daubentonii (Daubenton's bat)
Lineage: Eukaryota; Metazoa; Chordata; Mammalia; Chiroptera; Vespertilionidae
Exons: 2
Source: RefSeq, a predicted model, not a curated record
CCUGAAAUCCUGGAUGCCCCCUGCCCAGGCACGAGGAAAAGAGUAAGAGCUCAGAUGGCUGUCAUAGGAGAGGCUUCAAGCAGCACCAACAGCCACAGCCUGCUUGCCCCUGGGCAGAGGCUCUGGGCUGCCCAAAUGGGGCUGCUGUCACCUGGGCCACUUGUCUCAGACCACCAGCACCCCCUACAUCAUCAUCACCUUCAUCACUACCACCAGUUGAAAGCUGAGCCGGUGGAGUUUCAUUCCAGGCUCUGCUUCCAGGGGCCCCUGAACGACUCUGUCUCUCACCACCUUGCUCAGCUCACCCUGACGUGACGUCCGACACUCACGCCUGUUUCCUGCCUGAGGUCGCUGAGCCCUGCGGACCCUGGACAGACGGAGUCGGUGGGUUCUGAGAGCAGAAGUUCCCUGAGGAGAGGGGUGGUGUCUAUUCCCUGGAAAGCCUGGCAGACUGUCAGUUACCCAAUACAUUUCAAGGGCUUUUAGAUGAUGAUGAUGAUGAUGAUGAUGAUGAUGAUGAUGAUGAUGAUGAGAAUGCUGCUGCCAGCAAUCCUAUAAGCUGCUUGAAGACAACCUGGAUCAACACUUUUCUUGGGAGUCACUCAGCUGCCACAAGACCAGUGUCCGAUGGGCAAACUCUCCAAACCACCAGAUCUUUAACAGCCGUUAGCAACCUCUGUGGAGAGCAAUCACGCUCACUCCACACUUACACAUUCACAUCCUCUUUGACGCAGCAAUUUCACUGAGCUGUCCUGCAGAUCAUACAUGCCGCAAAUGACAUAGGGAUAACAUAAUUCAUGGAAGCGUCGCUAGCAUUAGCAAAGAGCUGGAAACAACCUAAAUGUCCACAGGAGAGCCCUGGUUCAAGAAAUGACGGUCUAGCGAAACCAUGAAUUUACACAGCUGUGUAGGAAAGUGGGACAGUCUUCAUGUGAUGACAGAAUUAUCUUCAAGAUAGAUUAUGAAGGGGAGGAAAACAGAGCAGAACAGGGCGAAAAGGAGAGGGGAUGUGGGUGGCUAAGGACAGGAGUGAGAGAGACUGACUUUUGGAUCAUGUGAAUGUAUUACUUUUUUGAAAAAGCAAAUAAAAACAACAGUUAAGCAUCAAACUCAGAUCUUUUAUAGUCAUCUCCCUUUAUUACACAGAUUCUUAUCGAGGACCUGCUAAGUGCUGGGCAGUGUGCCACCGAUGAGUAGUGCAAAGAAGAAAGACCUUCAGGAAUGCCUUAUAUGGGGUGGUAGGUGGGCACGGGGGGAGAGUAGAAGUGACUCAGCUAUUAUAACUCAUCCGUAUAUGCCAAACAUGGGUUAAGUACAGAUGCUGUGGGUACAUCAAAACAGGGCAACUGACGCAGAUACAGGGCCCGGGAUGGCUUCCUGGAGGCGGUGUGUUAGCCUUGAACUAUGAGUAGCAGGCAGCCAGGGGGAAAAAGGGGGAAGGGGAUUCUGGGAAGGGAGAACUGCAGGAACAAAAGUUGGGAGCUGUGACCCAGCCUGACAGGUGGGAACCUUCAGGGGGCACUGAAAAGAUGGCUAAGUUCAUGUUCCGAGGGAGGAGUCUGAAUAAAAACCUAGAAGUGUAUGUCUCUUUUACGGAGAAGCCAAAUCAACACUGGGGAGAGGGUGCCAGUCCUGGGCUUUGGAUCGCUUCUCUUCACCUCUCUCCAACCUCCCUCAACCCAGAAACUGGGCUGGAAUCAGCCUGGCUGUUAGAGGCUGGUCCCGGACAUGGCCUGUGACCAACACUCACCUCCCUCCUACCUGGAUGUCACACUCGAUCAAUCAGCACACGUUCCCUGAGGAACCACCCGGCCCGACAGUGCUGAGGGGCCCAGGACAAGUUUAAGAUACAGCCUGUGGCCUAGGAGGAGAUAGAAUUUACACACACAAUGACCUAAAAACAGAACAACUCAAUUUAUGACGUUGUCUUUAAAAGCCUGGUCCAGAGCAGGGACGCAAACAGAUACCUGAUGCUGAUGUUCAUAGAAACAUCAUUCACAAUAACCAAAAGGUAGAAGCAACCCGAGUGUCAUCAACAGAUGAAUGAAUAAGCAAAAUGAGUUCUAUCCAUACAAUGGAAUAGCGCUCAGCCGUAAUAAGAAAUUCUGACACUGGCUACAACAUGGAUGGACCUUGAAGACAUUAUACUAAGCAAACAAAGACAGACACGCAAGGACAAAUACUGGAUGAUUCUCUUCAUGUGGAAUAUAUAGCAUAAAUAUAGAGACAAGAUCAUAAGGUGGAAAGUGAGUCCGAGGCUCAGGGAGGAAUGGCAGUUAUUGCAUAGAAACAGGUACAGAAUUUCUGUUUGGGUGAUGAAAAAUUUUAGUGAUAGUGAAAAUGGUUCUACAACACAGUGAAUGCAGUUAAUGGCACUGAACUGCACACUUAAAAAUGGUUAAAUAGCAAACUUGGUAUAUGUAUUUUACCACCAAAAAAAAAAAAAUGUUUAAAUAUUGUGGCUCAGAAAGGGGAGAUAGUGAGAUCUCAGUUAAUUUAGGAGGG